This 642-nucleotide long non-coding RNA is filed under the name Mus spicilegus (steppe mouse). RNAcentral's name for it is "lncRNA (ENSMSIG00000027579.1)". The record is from RNAcentral. Lineage: Eukaryota; Metazoa; Chordata; Mammalia; Rodentia; Muridae.
UAGGAGGCCUCUUGGGGGAGAUCUGAAGGUAAGAGUGUAGCAAAAGGGAAAGAGCGUAAAGAAAGGUGAUGCAGGAGUGAUCUCAGGUGUGAGUUGGGCCUGUGGGGUGUCUAUGUUCCCUGAGGUAAGGCAGGGGAGAUGGGAAGGAGGAAAGGCAGGUAGAGGGUAAGUUAUCAUCAACAGCAAGGACCGCUAUCAUCAGGCCAUCAUGAAGACAAUGGUAUAUUCAAAUGAUGGAGUUACGAGGACUCAGGAACAACACAAAUGUCAGCACUUCUGGACCACCUUCCUUUAACUUGAACUUGCUGCCUUGGGGCUAUGUUACCUUGACUUUCUCUGCGGCAUCAUUAACAGGACCCAUCAUCAUCUUGCUUGACCAGGGCACUCACAGAGGGAAGAUCUAAGAAGACACAGAAAAAGAAUGAUUAUCUGCAAACGGAGAGAGAUGGGCUCUAUGACACCUGGAUCAUUAACUCAAAGACCACAACUGUUAGAAAAUAGACUUCAGGAGUUUGGGCCAAAAAAAAACCAGUGUUUUCCUCGGAUGCCCUGAAAAGCCAAUGUGCUCUGUCUCCCUCUCCCACCCAGUGCCUGGAACAAUAUGCCACCUAUUUCCCCCUCCCCUCAAAAAAACCUCCUCCC